RNAcentral lists this ribosomal RNA (404 nucleotides) under uncultured bacterium. Its description in RNAcentral is "bacterial SSU rRNA". It matches the Rfam family "Bacterial small subunit ribosomal RNA", at positions 355 to 776 of the family's 1533-position model. The record is from RNAcentral.
UGGGGAAUAUUGGACAAUGGGCGAAAGCCUGAUCCAGCCAUGCCGCGUGAGUGAAGAAGGCCUUCGGGUUGUAAAGCUCUUUCGGCGGGGACGAUGAUGACGGUACCCGCAUAAGAAGCCCCGGCAAACUUCGUGCCAGCAGCCGCGGUAAUACGAAGGGGGCUAGCGUUGUUCGGAAUUACUGGGCGUAAAGCGAACGUAGGCGGUGUUCCAUGUCAGAGGUGAAAGCCUGGGGCUCAACUCCAGAAUUGCCUUUGAAACGGGGACGCUUGAGUCCGAGAGAGGAUGGCGGAAUUCCUAGUGUAGAGGUGAAAUUCGUAGAUAUUAGGAAGAACACCAGUGGCGAAGGCGGCCAUCUGGCUCGGUACUGACGCUCAGGUUCGAAAGCGUGGGGAGCAAACAGG